Molecule: ribosomal RNA, 492 nt
Filed under: uncultured bacterium
Lineage: Bacteria
Description: partial 16S ribosomal RNA
Rfam family: Bacterial small subunit ribosomal RNA
Source: RNAcentral
AGUGAACGCUGGCGGUAGGCCUAACACAUGCAAGUCGAACGGCAGCACAGUAAGAGCUUGCUCUUACGGGUGGCGAGUGGCGGACGGGUGAGGAAUACAUCGGAAUCUACUUUUUCGUGGGGGAUAACGUAGGGAAACUUACGCUAAUACCGCAUACGACCUACGGGUGAAAGCAGGGGAUCUUCGCACCUUGGGCGAUUGAAUGAGCCGAUGUCGGAUUAGCUAGUUGGCGGGGUAAAGGCCCACCAAGGCGACGAUCCGUAGCUGGUCUGAGAGGAUGAUCAGCCACACUGGAACUGAGACACGGUCCAGACUCCUACGGGAGGCAGCAGUGGGGAAUAUUGGACAAUGGGCGCAAGCCUGAUCCAGCCAUACCGCGUGGGUGGAGAAGGCCUUCGGGUUGUAAAGCCCUUUUGUUGGGAAAGAAAAGCAGCAGGUUAAUACCCCGCUGUUCUGACGGUACCCAAAGAAUAAGCACCGGCUAACUUCGUG